GGCCCUGUCGUCUAACGGUCAGGACACGGCCCUUUCAAGGCCGCGAUACGGGUUCGAUUCCCGUCAGGGUCA
RNAcentral lists this transfer RNA (72 nucleotides) under Planctomycetia bacterium. RNAcentral's name for it is "tRNA-Glu". It matches the Rfam family "tRNA". From Rfam's summary of the family: Transfer RNA (tRNA) molecules are approximately 80 nucleotides in length. Their secondary structure includes four short double-helical elements and three loops (D, anti-codon, and T loops). The record is from RNAcentral. Lineage: Bacteria; Pseudomonadati; Planctomycetota; Planctomycetia.